This 1380-nucleotide non-coding RNA is filed under the name Magnetospirillum sp. 64-120. RNAcentral describes it as "bacterial LSU rRNA". It matches the Rfam family "Bacterial large subunit ribosomal RNA", at positions 483 to 1968 of the family's 2925-position model. The record is from RNAcentral. Lineage: Bacteria; Pseudomonadati; Pseudomonadota; Alphaproteobacteria; Rhodospirillales; Rhodospirillaceae.
ACCGAUAGUGAACCAGUACCGUGAGGGAAAGGUGAAAAGCACCCCGAUGAGGGGAGUGAAACAGUACCUGAAACCGGAUGCCUACAAGCAGUGGGAGGGUCCUUGAGACCUGACCGCGUACCUCUUGCAUAAUGGGUCUGUGACUUAGUGUAUCAAGCAAGCUUAAGCCGGUAGGUGUAGGCGCAGCGAAAGCGAGUCUGAAUAGGGCGAUUGAGUUUGAUGCAUUAGACCCGAAACCCGGUGAUCUAUGCAUGACCAGGCUGAAGGUGGGGUAACACCCACUGGAGGGCCGAACCGAUCAAUGUUGAAAAAUUGUCGGAUGAGUUGUGCUUAGGGGUGAAAGGCCAAUCAAACCGGGAAAUAGCUGGUUCUCCGCGAAAUCUAUUGAGGUAGAGCGUCGAAUGAUUGCCGUUGGGGGUAGAGCACUGGAUGGAUGCGGGGGUCGCGAGAUCUACCAAUUCUAACCAAACUCCGAAUACCAACGAGUCUAGUUCGGCAGACAGACGGCGGGUGCUAAGGUCCGUCGUCAAAAGGGAAACAGCCCUAACCUACAGCUAAGGUCCCCAAGUCAUCACUAAGUGGGAAAGCAUGUGGGAUUUCCAAAACAACCAGGAGGUUGGCUUAGAAGCAGCCAUCCUUUAAAGAAAGCGUAACAGCUCACUGGUCUAAAUAAGAGAUCCUGCGGCGAAGAUGUAACGGGGCUAAAGUGAUGCACCGAAGCUUAGGGUUCAGUCUUUGACUGAGCGGUAGCGGAGCGUUCCGUAGGCCGAUGAAGCCAUCUGGUAAUGGGUGGUGGAGGUAUCGGAAGUGCGAAUGCAGACAUGAGUAGCGAUAAACAGUGUGAGAUGCACUGUCGCCGAAAUCCCAAGGGUUCCUGCUUAAAGCUAAUCUGAGCAGGGUUAGUCGGCCCCUAAGACGAGCCCGAAGGGGGUAGUCGAUGGGAACACGGUUAAUAUUCCGUGACCUGGAGGUGUGUGACGGAUGGCGUAAAUUGUCAGGCCUUAUCGGAUUGGUCCUGGCAGUGAAGUUGUCCCAGGAAAUAGCCCCUCCAUUAUAGACCGUACCCUAAACCGACACAGGUGGGAUGGUAGAGUAUACCAAGGCGCUUGAGAGAAGUAUCCUGAAGGAACUCGGCAAAUUGCCUCCGUACCUUCGGAAGAAGGAGGCCCUGUCUUAAGGCAACUUUUGGCAGGGGGCACAGGCCAGGGGGUAGCGACUGUUUAGCAAAAACACAGGACUCUGCUAAGUCGGCUUCAAGACGACGUAUAGGGUCUGACGCCUGCCCGGUGCCGGAAGGUUAAGAGGAGGAGUGCAAGCUCUGAAUUGAAGCCCCGGUAAACGGCGGCCGUAACUAUAACGGUCCUAAGGUAGCGAAAUUCC